UCGGAAUUUGAGGACGAUGUG
Molecule: non-coding RNA, 21 nt
Filed under: Caenorhabditis elegans
Lineage: Eukaryota; Metazoa; Nematoda; Chromadorea; Rhabditida; Rhabditidae
Source: RNAcentral